RNAcentral lists this non-coding RNA (23 nucleotides) under Arabidopsis thaliana (thale cress). Lineage: Eukaryota; Viridiplantae; Streptophyta; Magnoliopsida; Brassicales; Brassicaceae. The record is from RNAcentral.
GAUAGUGCUGAGCCGAUGAGCCU